ACAGUGGACGCGAGCAUCUGUGGCCAAGUUUUUAAGGGCGCACGGUGGAUGCCUUGGCACCAGGAACCGAUGAAGGACGUGGGAGGCCACGAUAGUCCCCGGGGAGCCGUCAACCAGGCUUUGAUCCGGGGGUUUCCGAAUGGGGAAACCCGGCAGUCGUCAUGGGCUGUCACCCGCUGCUGAACACAUAGGCAGUGUGGAGGGAACGAGGGGAAGUGAAACAUCUCAGUACCCUCAGGAAGAGAAAACAACCGUGAUUCCGGGAGUAGUGGCGAGCGAAACCGGAUGAGGCCAAACCGUAUACGUGUGAGACCCGGCAGGGGUUGCGUGUGCGGGGUUGUGGGAUCUCUCUUCUGUCGUCUGCCGGCGACAGGACGAGUCAGAAACCGUUGAUGUAGGCGAAGGACAUGCGAAAGGUCCGGCGUAGAGGGUAAGACCCCCGUAGUCGAAACAUCAGCGGCUCGUUUGAGAGACACCCAAGUAGCACGGGGCCCGAGAAAUCCCGUGUGAAUCUGGCGGGACCACCCGCUAAGCCUAAAUAUUCCCUGGUGACCGAUAGCGGAUAGUACCGUGAGGGAAUGGUGAAAAGUACCGCGGGAGCGGAGUGAAAUAGUACCUGAAACCGUGUGCCUACAAGCCGUGGGAGCGUCGGAUAUGUGCUUGCACAUAUCUCGUGACUGCGUGCCUUUUGAAGAAUGAGCCUGCGAGUUUGCGGUGUGUUGCGAGGUUAACCCGUGUGGGGAAGCCGUAGCGAAAGCGAGUCCGAAUAGGGCGAUUCAGUAGCGCGCUCAAGACCCGAAGCGGAGUGAUCUAGCCAUGGGCAGGUUGAAGCGGAGGUAAGACUUCGUGGAGGACCGAACCCACCAGGGUUGAAAACCUGGGGGAUGACCUGUGGUUAGGGGUGAAAGGCCAAUCAAACUCCGUGAUAGCUGGUUCUCCCCGAAAUGCAUUUAGGUGCAGCGUCGUGUGUUUCUUGCCGGAGGUAGAGCACUGGAUAGGCGAUGGGCCCUACCGGGUUACUGACCUUAGCCAAACUCCGAAUGCCGGUAAGUGAGAGCACGGCAGUGAGACUGUGGGGGAUAAGCUCCAUGGUCGAGAGGGAAACAGCCCAGAGCAUCGACUAAGGCCCCUAAGCGUACGCUAAGUGGGAAAGGAUGUGGAGUCGCAGAGACAACCAGGAGGUUGGCUUAGAAGCAGCCACCCUUGAAAGAGUGCGUAAUAGCUCACUGGUCUAGUGAUUCCGCGCCGACAAUGUAGCGGGGCUCAAGCGUACCGCCGAAGUCGUGUCAUUCAUACAAUAGGGCCAACGCCUGUAUGGAUGGGUAGGGGAGCGUCGUGUGCCGGGUGAAGCAGCCGCGGAAGCGAGUUGUGGACGGUUCACGAGUGAGAAUGCAGGCAUGAGUAGCGAUACAAACGUGAGAAACGUUUGCGCCGAUUGACUAAGGGUUCCUGGGUCAAGCUGAUCUGCCCAGGGUAAGUCGGGACCUAAGGCGAGGCCGACAGGCGUAGUCGAUGGAUAACCGGUUGAUAUUCCGGUACCCGCUGUGAAGCGUCAAACAUCGAGCAUCGUGAUGCUAAGGCCGUGAAGCCGUUCCGGACCCUUCGGGGAAUGGAAAGUGGUGGAGCCGCCAGCCCAAGCGGUUAGUAGGUGAGUGAUGGGGUGACGCAGGAAGGUAGUCCAGCCCAGGCGGUGGUUGUCCUGGGGUAAGGGUGUAGGACGCAAGGUAGGCAAAUCCGCCUUGCACAUAGUCUGAGACCUGAUGCCGAGCCGAUUGUGGUGAAGUGGAUGAUCCUAUGCUGUCGAGAAAAGCCUCUAGCGAGUUUCAUGGCGGCCCGUACCCUAAACCGACUCAGGUGGUCAGGUAGAGAAUACCGAGGCGUUCGGGUGAACUAUGGUUAAGGAACUCGGCAAAAUGCCCCCGUAACUUCGGGAGAAGGGGGGCCAUCACUGGUGAUCGGAUUUGCUCCGUGAGCUGGGGGUGGCCGCAGAGACCAGCGAGAAGCGACUGUUUACUAAAAACACAGGUCCGUGCGAAGCCGUAAGGCGAUGUAUACGGACUGACGCCUGCCCGGUGCUGGAACGUUAAGGGGACCGGUUAGUCACUCUUCGGGGUGGCGAAGCUGAGAACUUAAGCGCCAGUAAACGGCGGUGGUAACUAUAACCAUCCUAAGGUAGCGAAAUUCCUUGUCGGGUAAGUUCCGACCUGCACGAAUGGCGUAACGACUUCUCGACUGUCUCAACCAUAGGCCCGGUGAAAUUGCACUACGAGUAAAGAUGCUCGUUUCGCGCAGCAGGACGGAAAGACCCCGGGACCUUUACUACAGUUUGAUAUUGGUGUUCGGUUCGGCUUGUGUAGGAUAGCUGGGAGACUUUGAAGCAUGCACGCCAGUGUGUGUGGAGUCGUCGUUGAAAUACCAGUCUGGUCGUGCUGGAUGUCUAACCUGGGUCCGUGAUCCGGAUCAGGGACAGUGUCUGAUGGGUAGUUUAACUGGGGCGGUUGCCUCCUAAAGAGUAACGGAGGCGCCCAAAGGUUCCCUCAGCCUGGUUGGCAAUCAGGUGUUGAGUGUAAGUGCACAAGGGAGCUUGACUGUGAGACCGACGGGUCGAGCAGGGACGAAAGUCGGGACUAGUGAUCCGGCGGUGGCUUGUGGAAGCGCCGUCGCUCAACGGAUAAAAGGUACCCCGGGGAUAACAGGCUGAUCUUCCCCAAGAGUCCAUAUCGACGGGAUGGUUUGGCACCUCGAUGUCGGCUCGUCGCAUCCUGGGGCUGGAGUCGGUCCCAAGGGUUGGGCUGUUCGCCCAUUAAAGCGGUACGCGAGCUGGGUUUAGAACGUCGUGAGACAGUUCGGUCCCUAUCCGCUGUGCGCGUAGGAAUAUUGAGAAGGGCUGUCCCUAGUACGAGAGGACCGGGACGGACGAACCUCUGGUGUGCCAGUUGUCCUGCCAAGGGCAUGGCUGGUUGGCUACGUUCGGGAGGGAUAACCGCUGAAAGCAUCUAAGCGGGAAGCCUGCUUCGAGAUGAGUAUUCCCGCCUCCUUGAGAGGGUAAGGCUCCCAGUAGACGACUGGGUUGAUAGGCCAGAUAUGGAAGCCUGGUAACGGGUGGAGUUGACUGGUACUAAUAGGCCGAGGGCUUGUCCUCAGUUG
Molecule: ribosomal RNA, 3147 nt
Filed under: Streptomyces seoulensis
Lineage: Bacteria; Bacillati; Actinomycetota; Actinomycetes; Kitasatosporales; Streptomycetaceae
Description: 23S ribosomal RNA
Rfam family: Bacterial large subunit ribosomal RNA
Source: RNAcentral